Molecule: ribosomal RNA, 253 nt
Filed under: uncultured bacterium
Lineage: Bacteria
Description: partial 16S ribosomal RNA
Rfam family: Bacterial small subunit ribosomal RNA
Source: RNAcentral
UACGUAGGGGGCAAGCGUUGUCCGGAAUCAUUGGGCGUAAAGAGCGCGUAGGCGGCCCGGUAAGUCCGCUGUGAAAGUCAAGGGCUCAACCCUUGAAUGCCGGUGGAUACUGUCAGGCUAGAGUCCGGAAGAGGCGAGUGGAAUUCCUGGUGUAGCGGUGAAAUGCGCAGAUAUCAGGAGGAACACCAAUGGCGAAGGCAGCUCGCUGGGACGGUACUGACGCUGAGACGCGAAAGCGUGGGGAGCGAACAGG